RNAcentral lists this ribosomal RNA (301 nucleotides) under uncultured bacterium. Its description in RNAcentral is "partial 16S ribosomal RNA". It matches the Rfam family "Bacterial small subunit ribosomal RNA", at positions 509 to 807 of the family's 1533-position model. The record is from RNAcentral.
CAGCCGCCGCGGUAAAACGGAGGGCGCGAGCGUUACCCGGAUUUACUGGGCGUAAAGGGCGUGUAGGCGGCCUGGGGCGUCCCAUGUGAAAGGCCACGGCUCAACCGUGGAGGAGCGUGGGAUACGGUCAGGCUAGAGGGUGGGAGAGGGUGGUGGAAUUCCCGGUGUAGCGGUGAAAUGCGCAGAUACCGGGAGGAACGCCGAUGGCGAAGACAGCCACCUGGUCCACUUCUGACGCUGAGGCGCGAAAGCGUGGGGAGCAAACCGGAUUAGAUACCCCCGUAGUCCCUGUCUCUUAUAC